Molecule: ribosomal RNA, 468 nt
Filed under: uncultured bacterium
Lineage: Bacteria
Description: partial 16S ribosomal RNA
Rfam family: Bacterial small subunit ribosomal RNA
Source: RNAcentral
GACGAACGCUGGCGGCGUGCUUAACACAUGCAAGUCGAACGGACAGGCCCUGCUUUUGUUGGGUGCUCGAGUGGCGAACGGGUGAGUAACACGUGAGUAACCUGCCCUUGACUUUGGGGUAACUUCAGGAAACUGGGGCUCAUACCGGAUAGGAGCUCCUGCUGCAUGGUGGGGGUUGGAAAGAUUCGGCGGUUGGGGAUGGACUCGCGGCUUAUCAGCUUGUUGGUGGGGUAGUGGCUUACCAAGGCUUUGACGGGUAGCCGGCCUGAGCGGGUGACCGGCCACAUGGGGACUGAGAUACGGCCCAGACUCCUACGGGAGGCAGCAGUGGGGAAUAUUGCACAAUGGGCGGAAGCCUGAUGCAGCAACGCCGCGUGCGGGAUGACGGCCUUCGGGUGGUAAACCGCUUUCGCCUGUGACGAAGCGUGAGUGACGGUAAUGGGUAAAGAAGCACCGGCUAACUACGUG